This 187-nucleotide ribosomal RNA is filed under the name uncultured bacterium. RNAcentral's name for it is "partial 16S ribosomal RNA". It matches the Rfam family "Bacterial small subunit ribosomal RNA", at positions 1314 to 1500 of the family's 1533-position model. The record is from RNAcentral.
GCCUAUAUGAAGUCGGAAUUGCUAGUAAUCGCGGAUCAGCAUGCCGCGGUGAAUACGUUCCCGGGCCUUGUACACACCGCCCGUCACACCAUGAGAGUCGAUAACACCCGAAGCCUGUAGUCUAACAGCAAUGAGGACGCAGUCGAAGGUGGGAUUGAUAAUUAGGGUGAAGUCGUAACAAGGUACC